Molecule: ribosomal RNA, 471 nt
Filed under: uncultured Pseudomonas sp.
Lineage: Bacteria; Pseudomonadati; Pseudomonadota; Gammaproteobacteria; Pseudomonadales; Pseudomonadaceae
Description: bacterial SSU rRNA
Rfam family: Bacterial small subunit ribosomal RNA
Source: RNAcentral
GACGGGGGCCCGCACAAGACGGUGGAGCAUGUGGUUUAAUCGAAGCAACGCGAAGAACCUUACCAGGCCUUGACAUGCAGAGAACUUUCCAGAGAUGGAUUGGUGCCUUCGGGAGCUCUGACACAGGUGCUGCACGGCUGUCGUCAGCUCGUGUCGUGAGAUGUUGGGUUAAGUCCCGUAACGAGCGCAACCCUUGUCCUUAGUUACCAGCACGUUAUGGUGGGCACUCUAAGGAGACUGCCGGUGACAAACCGGAGGAAGGUGGGGAUGACGUCAAGUCAUCAUGGCCCUUACGGCCUGGGCUACACACGUGCUACAAUGGUCGGUACAAAGGGUUGCCAAGCCGCGAGGUGGAGCUAAUCCCAUAAAACCGAUCGUAGUCCGGAUCGCAGUCUGCAACUCGACUGCGUGAAGUCGGAAUCGCUAGUAAUCGUGAAUCAGAAUGUCACGGUGAAUACGUUCCCGGGCCUU